AGGUACAGAGAACAGCAAGACAGCACAUGAUAAAGUCCUCAGCACUAUAGCUGCAUACUGCAACUGGACUGAAAGGAGCAGAAGAAAACAAACAGAAUGGGGACGGCUGCCAGUAUAGCAAAGAAGAAGGCGUAUCAUGACAAAAAAAACUCACUUGCCUUGGGACUAGAAUACCUGGCACUGAAUCCAAGCACGAAAAUGGAGCAGGCUCUUGAGGAAUUCUGCAGUCAGCAGUGUGUUGUUAAACAUAAUCUAAACAGUAAUAUGCAAGCCCAAAGUCGCCACAGUGACCUUUUCCUUGUAGAAAGUGUUUUGUUGGGAG
Erpetoichthys calabaricus (reedfish) is the source of this 322-nucleotide long non-coding RNA. RefSeq lists it as uncharacterized. The record is from RefSeq and is a predicted model, not a curated record. Lineage: Eukaryota; Metazoa; Chordata; Cladistia; Polypteriformes; Polypteridae. The transcript is spliced from 3 exons.